CCUACGGGAGGCAGCAGUGAGGAAUAUUGCGCAAUGGACGAAAGUCUGACGCAGCCAUGCCGCGUGCAGGAUGACGGCCCUAUGGGUUGUAAACUGCUUUUGUUUAGGAAGAAACUCAGCUACGUGUAGCUGACUGACGGUACUAGAUGAAUAAGCAUCGGCUAACUCCGUGCCAGCAGCCGCGGUAAUACGGAGGAUGCGAGCGUUAUCCGGAUUUAUUGGGUUUAAAGGGUGCGUAGGCGGGGCUUUAAGUCAGUGGUGAAAUCUUGCAGCUUAACUGUAAAAUUGCCAUUGAUACUGAAGUUCUUGAGUGCGGUUGAAGUAGGCGGAAUGUGUAAUGUAGCGGUGAAAUGCUUAGAGAUUACACAGAACACCGAUUGCGUAGGCAGCUUACUAAGCCGUAACUGACGCUGAGGCACGAAAGUGUGGGGAUCGAACAGGAUUAGAUACCCUGGUAGUCCACACUGUAAACGAUGAUCACUAGCUGUUGGCGAUAAACAGUCA
This 504-nucleotide ribosomal RNA is filed under the name uncultured bacterium. RNAcentral describes it as "bacterial SSU rRNA". It matches the Rfam family "Bacterial small subunit ribosomal RNA", at positions 338 to 839 of the family's 1533-position model. The record is from RNAcentral.